AUACGUAGGGAGCGAGCGUUGUCCGGAAUUACUGGGUGUAAAGGGAGCGUAGGCGGGAGUGCAAGUCAGAUGUGAAAUACAUGGGCUCAACCCAUGGGCUGCAUUUGAAAUUGCAUUUCUUGAGUGAAGUAGAGGUAAGCGGAAUUCCUGGUGUAGCGGUGAAAUGCGUAGAUAUCAGGAGGAACACCGGUGGCGAAGGCGGCUUACUGGGCUUUUACUGACGCUGAGGCUCGAAAGCGUGGGGAGCAAACAGGAUUAGAUACCCUGGUAGUCCACGCUGUAAACGAUGAUUACUAGGUGUGGGGGGACUGACCCCUUCCGUGCCGCAGUUAACACAAUAAGUAAUCCACCUGGGGAGUACGGCCGCAAGGUUGAAACUCAAAUGAAUUGACGGGG
RNAcentral lists this ribosomal RNA (396 nucleotides) under uncultured bacterium. RNAcentral describes it as "partial 16S ribosomal RNA". It matches the Rfam family "Bacterial small subunit ribosomal RNA", at positions 523 to 918 of the family's 1533-position model. The record is from RNAcentral.